UGGGGAAUAUUGCACAAUGGGCGCAAGCCUGAUGCAGCCAUGCCGCGUGUGUGAAGAAGGCCUUCGGGUUGUAAAGCACUUUCAGCGAGGAGGAAGGCGUUAAGGUUAAUAACCUUAGUGAUUGACGUUACUCGCAGAAGAAGCACCGGCUAACUCCGUGCCAGCAGCCGCGGUAAUACGGAGGGUGCAAGCGUUAAUCGGAAUUACUGGGCGUAAAGCGCACGCAGGCGGUUUGUUAAGUCAGAUGUGAAAUCCCCGAGCUUAACUUGGGAACUGCAUUUGAAACUGGCAAGCUAGAGUCUUGUAGAGGGGGGUAGAAUUCCAGGUGUAGCGGUGAAAUGCGUAGAGAUCUGGAGGAAUACCGGUGGCGAAGGCGGCCCCCUGGACAAAGACUGACGCUCAGGUGCGAAAGCGUGGGGAGCAAACA
Molecule: ribosomal RNA, 427 nt
Filed under: uncultured bacterium
Lineage: Bacteria
Description: partial 16S ribosomal RNA
Rfam family: Bacterial small subunit ribosomal RNA
Source: RNAcentral